CCCAAACAGGGUGAGUUUAUCAAAUCGUGUUCUCCGGGGUGUUUGUCUCCCCGAGUCGGUUCAAUUCACUGAGCACCGUUCCACUCUAUUGCUGUCUGCCAAGGCCGUCCAGGCUUUUAAAGGCAGGCUGAGAGGCAGAGGAGACCAACAGGUUCCCACUAUUCUAGCGGAAAUCGUGUCCAAAGCCGCUUUCCACCCAAGAACAGGGGACAUCCCAAGAAGGCAGCGGAAGCCUGAAUUCGCGGGACCAGCCGAGGGGGGCCCCACUGCUUUUCUCCUCUUUCCCACGCGCCCACGGCCAACCCCGUCCAAGCCCAGAAACCAGAGAGCAGCGAAGACGCCCGUCCAUCGUCCGGGUCCAGGAGGCCCAGCUGAGAUCUGUUUCAACGCACCCACGUGAGAGGGUUCCCAGUGUGUUUCCCCAGUUGCCAUGGCUUUGCUUUCUGCGUCAGGCGCUCUGUCUGUCAGACACGACAAUUGAAUAAUAUUUUUAUUUUUA
Long non-coding RNA from Herpailurus yagouaroundi (jaguarundi), 499 nucleotides. RefSeq lists it as uncharacterized. Lineage: Eukaryota; Metazoa; Chordata; Mammalia; Carnivora; Felidae. The record is from RefSeq and is a predicted model, not a curated record. The transcript is spliced from 2 exons.